This is a small nucleolar RNA of Myotis lucifugus (little brown bat), 145 nucleotides long. NCBI's taxonomy places the organism in Eukaryota, Metazoa, Chordata, Mammalia, Chiroptera, Vespertilionidae. The record is from Ensembl.
UGUGGAAAAGACAAAUUUCUGAACACAAAAGUGAUGAGCCCACCCAUGGCAGGCACUGGCCCAAAAGGCUGCCACAGAAACACUGUGGUGCAUGGGCCCUGAUCCCCUCUGCUGGGCUCAGGGAUAAGUUUGGCUACAGACAUAA